Long non-coding RNA from Balaenoptera musculus (blue whale), 738 nucleotides. RefSeq lists it as uncharacterized. The transcript is spliced from 4 exons. The record is from RefSeq and is a predicted model, not a curated record. Lineage: Eukaryota; Metazoa; Chordata; Mammalia; Artiodactyla; Balaenopteridae.
CUUCCACGUAGCAUCCCCAGGGAGGAGGAGACAAAAGAGGGGUCACCAGGAGCCCCCCAGCUCCCCGCUCCUGGACUCUGCCCUCACAGGUAGUCGUCCAGGGCACCGUGGAAAGAAGUAUCCAGGCUCAGAGAACCACAAUCGAUUAGCGAUGUCUGCCUGGGGCGCAGGAAGGACAAGUGGCCUCUUUUGACGUCUGCUGUUCUAGAUCCAGCACAAACUGUAUUCUGAGGAUGGGAAAACAGACCAAAGGAGGAGAAAAGAGCAUGCUGAGAUCUCGUUGCUAGUUCAUAGUAGAACCCAGAGGACGUUUGGCAAUGUCCGGAGACAUCUUUGGUUGCCACGGUGUGUGGGGGGUUGCACUGGCACCUGGCGUGUAGAGGCCCGGCUGCAGGGCCCUCACAGAGGCUGCUCCCAGUGUAGGAAGCACCAGCCUUCCACUCCAACCUCUCUGCCUGGUUAAUUCCUGCUCAUGCUCCUGACCUUACUACUUCCUCGGCCCUUCUUUACCCCUGCCCUCUUCCUAGCAUUUAGUAGAGUCUGUAGCUAUAUAUUUAUCUGUGAGGUUGUUUCAUGUCUGUCUUCCUCCUCUCACUGCGCUGGAAGUGUCCUGUAGGCAGAAGCAGUAUCUGUUUUGAUCAGUCCCAUAUUUUCAGUGUCUUGUAUUGUACCUGCAAACUACUAGGCUCUCCAUAAAUAUUUGUUGAAUGAACGAACAAAUGGAUGGAUGGAUGGAUG